RNAcentral lists this ribosomal RNA (790 nucleotides) under uncultured bacterium. RNAcentral describes it as "bacterial SSU rRNA". It matches the Rfam family "Bacterial small subunit ribosomal RNA", at positions 67 to 870 of the family's 1533-position model. The record is from RNAcentral.
CGGAGAUUAUGGAGCUUGCUUUAUAUAACUUAGCAGCGAACGGGUGAGUAACACGUAGAUAAUCUAUCCUAUACUGGGGGAUAGCCCGAUGAAAGUUGGAUUAAUACCGCAUAUAGCUAUAUAGUUGCAUGAUUAUGUAGUGAAAGAUUUAUUGGUAUAGGAGGAGUCUGCGGCACAUUAGCUAGUAGGUGAGGUAAAGGCUUACCUAGGCGACGAUGUGUAGCCGGUCUGAGAGGAUGAACGGCCACAAUGGAACUGAGACACGGUCCAUACUCCUACGGGAGGCAGCAGUGGGGAAUAUUGCACAAUGGGGGAAACCCUGAUGCAGCAACGCCGCGUGAGUGAAGAAGGUUUUCGGAUUGUAAAGCUCUGUUAGCAGGGAAGAGGAAGGACGGUACCUGCAGAGGAAGCCACGGCUAACUACGUGCCAGCAGCCGCGGUAAUACGUAGGUGGCAAGCGUUGUUCGGAAUAACUGGGCGUAAAGGAUGCGUAGGCGGUUAAACAAGUUAUAUGUUAAAUAUAUAGGCUUAACCUGUAGAAAGCAUAUAAAACUGUUUAACUAGAGUGCAGGAGAGGUAAGUGGAAUUCCUAGUGUAGCGGUGAAAUGCGUAGAGAUUAGGAAGAACACCAGUGGCGAAGGCGACUUACUGGACUGUAACUGACGCUGAGGCAUGAGAGCAUGGGGAGCAAACAGGAUUAGAUACCCUGGUAGUCCAUGCUGUAAACGAUGGGUACUAGGUGUGGGUUGUGAAUAACAAUUCGUGCCGUCGCAAACGCAAUAAGUACCCC